CCUACGGGAGGCAGCAGUAAGGAAUCUUCCACAAUGGACGAAAGUCUGAUGGAGCAACGCCGCGUGCAGGAUGAAGGCUUUCGGGUCGUAAACUGCUUUUAUAUGGGAAGAUUAUGACGGUACCAUAUGAAUAAGGACCGGCUAACUACGUGCCAGCAGCCGCGGUAAUACGUAGGGUCCAAGCGAUAUCCGGAAUUACUGGGCGUAAAGCGUGUGUAGGUGGAUUAAUAAGUGUGAUGCGAAAUCCGGCGGCUCAACCGUUUGGACUGUGUCGCAUACUGUUAGUCUAGAGGACGGCAGAGGUAAGUGGAAUUACGGGUGUAGCAGUGAAAUGCGUAGAUAUCCGUAGGAACACCAAUGGCGAAGGCAGCUUACUGGGCCACACCUGACACUGAGACACGAAAGCGUGGGGAGCGAACAGGAUUAGAUACCCUGGUAGUCCACGCCGUAAACGAUGCAUACUAUUAGUAUGGGGUAUCGACCCCCUGUGCUGAGAAGCUAACGCGAUAAGUAUGCCGCCUGGGGAGUACGAGCGCAGCUUAAAACUCAAAGGAAUUGACGG
This 562-nucleotide ribosomal RNA is filed under the name uncultured bacterium. Its description in RNAcentral is "bacterial SSU rRNA". It matches the Rfam family "Bacterial small subunit ribosomal RNA", at positions 338 to 916 of the family's 1533-position model. The record is from RNAcentral.